GGUUCUGUAGUGUAGUGGUUAUCACUGUCGGUUUUGAUUUGAUCUGAUUUCAAAUAUCCGACUAACCCCGGUUCGAACCCGGGCAGGACCU
Molecule: non-coding RNA, 91 nt
Organism: Onygenales sp. PD_12
Lineage: Eukaryota; Fungi; Ascomycota; Eurotiomycetes; Onygenales
Source: the annotation of a GenBank genome assembly